Long non-coding RNA from Ictalurus punctatus (channel catfish), 1048 nucleotides. RefSeq lists it as uncharacterized. The record is from RefSeq and is a predicted model, not a curated record. Lineage: Eukaryota; Metazoa; Chordata; Actinopteri; Siluriformes; Ictaluridae. The transcript is spliced from 4 exons.
GAACAAUGGAUCCAGAGAGAUGUGAAGGAAGAGGUUGAGGACACUGGAGAGGAGGAGGAAGAGCAGUAGGGAGUUGAGGAAGAGGUGAAGAAAGAGGAAGAGUAGGAGGAGGAGGAGGAGGGGUAGGUAGAGGAGGAGGGGUAGGUAGAGGAGGAAGAGGAAAUGGAGAUGGAGGAGGAGACAACGAUGAGGAAGGGCAAGGAGACAAGCAGUCACACAUGAAAUUCAUGCCACUCUAGUUGGCCAUGUGCUUGCGCAUGGUAUGACUAUGAGGGAGGCUGAGCAAUGAGUACAACCAAACCUGAGUCGCUUCACCGUCACCUCAAUCAUAAGAACCUUCAGGAAGGAAAACCGGACACAGAGAUGACCAAGUGGUGGAGGAAGGCUAAAGCUUGUGUCAGAGGAGCAAGAGAGGGAGCUGGUAAAUAUGGUCAUUGCCAACAACGUCAUCGGCCUGUGAGAGAUUGAAAGGAGAGUGAUUGAAGACAAUCACCAAUUUCGAGGAAUAAAUGCCAUCAGCCUCUACACAAUUGAUCGCAUCCUCCGAAAGCACAGGUUCCAGAUUGAACACGUCUACUGUAUCCCUUUCAAACGAACUCUGAGUGAACGACUAACUUCUGGAAUAUGUUCAAAGAUUCUUGACCAAAAGAAGGAUGAAGGGGGAAGAACAUAAUUGGCCAUCGGGCUAUUCUUCAUGUCCCUGGCCAGCAAUAAGAGAACAUCACCAUGUGCACAGCCAUCAGCCAAGAGGGGUACUCCACUGCCAUGCCAUUCUUGGACCCCAUAACACUAUGCUCCUCCUUGGUUUCCUUGAUUGUCUAAGAGAGUGCCAUGGAAGAAGCCUGCCUAGACAUUUCAGUGGAUGCAUGCCAGGGGUGGGUCAGGCAUGCAAGAGGAUUUUACCCUUGCUGCCUGGCUAGGGCCAAUAUAGCCUGUGAUGCUGAGAUUCUCUUGCCUGUACCAGACCAAAGAUGGGAUGCUGGGGCAGAAUAAUUUUUUUGUUUGGUGUACUGUACAGUACCUUAAGGAAUAAAAAAUGUAGACAUUU